Molecule: ribosomal RNA, 100 nt
Filed under: Acanthosepion pharaonis
Lineage: Eukaryota; Metazoa; Mollusca; Cephalopoda; Sepiida; Sepiidae
Source: RNAcentral
CGCUGAAACACCGGUUCUCGUUCGAUCACCGAAGUUAAGCAUCGUAGAGCCAGGUCAGAACUUAGAUGGGGGACCGCUUGGGAACACCUGGUACUGUAAG